Molecule: long non-coding RNA, 19730 nt
Filed under: Lynx pardinus (Iberian lynx)
Lineage: Eukaryota; Metazoa; Chordata; Mammalia; Carnivora; Felidae
Source: RNAcentral
AGGGUUGCAAACCAUAAUCACCAGAGCACAGACACCUGGGGCCCUCUAGAGCCUGGAAUCAGCAUUUCUGCAGAUACAUGGUUUAGAAGGUAUUCUAAUAAACCUGGUUAGAACUCUGCCCAGGGACCAAGUCCAGUUGGGUCAAUGGCUCCCUAUCUGGCCAGUGGUAACCUGGCUUUGUUGAAUUGCAUUUCUUCCUUCUGUUUUUCUAGAAUCCUGACCAUAGAACCACAGCUGUGUGCUCACAGGAAAUUUAAGUAUUUUAAAAGCGCAGAGUUGUGGUGCAUUUGGAGGUUUUCGGGUCGGGCCAUAACCAGACUUCCCAGUCCUAAAUAAAUGCGUCCACUGCUUCUGGCUCCAUCACUUAAUUUCUGCACGUUGGCUGAUUUCCGGAGCUUAACUCCCUGACAGUCAGGAGGAAGGAGGCCAAAGGAAACCUUUUAAUUUAUAGUAAGCAGAAAUCAGUUUUAUGUGGGUUUUUUUUUUUUAGCUCAUUUAAAAUGCCAAGGCUCACUUGAAACAAUAAACUCUUGUAUAGUUUUCCCUUAUAAGAAAUUUCCCAGGUUAUUUACCAAAAUCCUAGAAAAAUACAUUGUUGUUAAUAUACCACAAUUCCCAUGAGAAAGAAAUAUUUACAAAAUUUGCUUUGGGCAGUGAUGCUACGAGAAUAUUAAAAAGUAUUGACUUUAUCACCAAGCGAAUCCUUUCUCAAUUUUUUUUUAUUAACAUCACAACAGGUUUGAAAAGCUAGAGCAGUAGGAGAAAACACCUUUGUUUUAAACAAGAACUACCUUUCUCAGCAAGAAUAGAAUUAGUAGCGUGGAAAAUCAGGUUCAUUUCAGUUUCACUAACAAUAUCUGAAAUGAAAUAACGUUACAAAUCUCCCCUCCAACCUUGUAGUUAGACACCUCGAGUAUUUAUUUAUUUCCCCUCCAGAGAAAAUAAGGGUGGAUGUUACCUUUAAACUACAUACCCAUUUAAUUAAUGCAUGCAAGGAAAAUGAUUCUGGCUGCAUUUAAAUUAAGGCCCGAGCCUGUAGAAUUUAAGGGAUCUGACCUUAAAAAUGAAGAAAAUAUUAUUGUAAUUACUCCAUUUGCUAAAAACAAAUGAUGUGGCAUUUGAAUUUAAGACUUCUAUCAAAAGCAGCUGAGGGUCUAAUCAGUUCACACCUUUCCAUUUUAAUGGAGUUGGGGUUGAGCCAUUGCAUUUACAAUUAUCCAGGCUGACUUCAUCCCUUUGAAAUGACUUAAAAAGAUUAGCAUUCAUGGAUUAUUUAUUAGCUCCUCGUGAAUGUAUUUCCAAGAAUGGAAACAACAUAUUGCAUCAAAGUCUAGUUCCCAAGUUUAACUCUUUUAAUUAACAGCACGGCUACACGGUGUUGUAAAAGGCGUCUGAAGUCACAGGACAUUUUGUCAGGCUUUUUGCUCCACGUGUGUCUUUAGGAGCAGUCUUUGUUCCUCGCAAGCUCGGAGAGAAGGCCAAUCCCAGUCCUGGCGGCCGUCCGUGAUGCCCUGUAAACACCGCCGUGCAGAAAGCAGGCUGCUUGGAGAGGCAGCAGCUCGGGGCCUGCCGUAGCUAUCGCUGAUAGGGAGUGCCUGUCUCGGGCUCAGCAGAGAACUCGGUGACACGGUGGCACUGGCAGUUUAACCCAAACACACUUUCUGCCUAGAUAACGAAAAUGUCACCCACGAGUCCCUGACAGCAAUCCCAAAGGAGCGCCAGGUUUGAGGCGGUGCUGGCCGCACGCGGCCUAUCUGCCAUCUGAAGGCCUUCAUCGUCUGCUUGGCUGAGGGGCUCACCUCCGCGUGGGCAGAAAACAGUCCACACACGCUGUGCCAGACCUCCUCCGCAGUCAGGCUCGGGACAGCAAACCCUGCAGGCCAAGCCAGGCCCUCUAGUUAAAGCUGACAAAUGUAUUGGAGGCGGGCUUUCUGAGGGUACUAAGGUUCUUCAAAGAGAAAGCGGAAUGAGAGAAAAAUCAACAACUGUUCUGGAGGGCUGGAUCCUACAAGAAUCUCCCCUGGAAAAGCAGGGGAGAUGAAAGCAACGAAAGAGGGACAGUCAUGGCAAGCCUGGGAUUUGUCUGAGGAAAUCCUGAUUCUUGGUGGCGGUUUGACCUGCGUAUGCCUUACAUGUAGGGGCUGUGACUGAAUGUAUUUUGCUAUGUUUUUUUUUUCUUUAACCUAAUGAUAGAACUGAUAGAUAUAACCUUGUGCUGUCCUUCUAGAAAAUCUGAUAUUGCAAAAUUUACAAACUGUACAAAUGGUGGCUGGUUCCUUGCUUUGCAAAUCUUGUUUUAAAGAAUCCUUCUGGAAAGUUCCAUUGGUACGGUGACACCCCUGUGACCGCCAAACUAUAAUUUGACUUAUGAAAAGUUUAUUUACGCGAAGAGGCAUCUCUAACAUACAAAAUAGGACCCAUCUGUAACUUUUCCCCUGGAGACCACAUUGGAGACAUCCAAUAGAGCAGCACCAUUAUAUAAUAUAUGUAUCCUGUCUUGGUGAAAAAACAUCUGAGAACAAUGUUAAAGCAAAUUUAAAUUUAAAUGAAAAUUUGCCUUUACUGAGAUAAAAAUAGAUCCACAGAAUUUAAAAUACAGAACUGAGAUAACAGGGUCACAAAAAUUAUAAUUCUUAUUAUAAUUAUAAUUUUUACUUAUUAAGUGCAAGGAAUAAAAAUCGGAAUGACCACAAAGAAGUCUUGAGGAUAAGAAUCGCUAUUUGGGAGAAAAUAAGAACCAACCUAGAACUCAUGAGAAAAAUGUCCUAGCUGGCUUGAUUUGUUUAUUUGCUCAUGGAGAGUUCAGCAAUCUGUCAUGCAUUCAUUCACUUCAUCACACAUUCAUUCAUUUAUUCAUUGUCAUUCAUUCAUUCAUUCAUUCCCUUCCAGGGUUCACUGUGAGUAGACACUGUGUCUGGGAAUACACAAACGUAGAAAGUAUGGGCUCUGCCCUCAAAGCGCUUCUACUCUAAUGAGAGAGAGAAAACAGGUCCACAUAGAGCUAUUCUACAAAGCAGGAUAUGACAAAUGCACAAGGCAUGUGUCCUGAGGCGUGGCAUCCUACUGGGAGGUAUUACUUGAGCUGACUUUGGGCAGUAGGGAGUGAGUGGCGACAAGGAAAAUCCCAAGGACGCUUUGAUAGAGAAAGUCCAGUGAAUCCUGUGAAAGGAUCUGUAUCUAUGAGUGUGGAACAAGAGAGAAGGGAGGGCUUCUGUGUCUGCCUGCCUUGCCGAGUGAGAAAAUGACUCAACUCUCCUCCCAGUUUCUGCUGACUCUCCGUCCUUGGGCAAGACAUCUAUGGGCUUUGGGCUAUUUUCAUAAAAUGUAGUUACUCUGACAAGUUGCGUUCUGGACAGGAUUUCAAUAUAUAUCGUUAUAGAGAAAAAUGAUAAAUGUAGAAAUAUCAGAAAAAAAAUUAGAAAAUAUCACCUGUAAUUCUGAUACUAUUAAUAUUGUGCAAGGUGUUCCUCUAGGCUUCUGUUUAUCUAUCUCUGUGUAUUUUUUUUUAUUGUGGUAAAAACCAUAUAACAUUGCAUUUAUCAUCUUAACCACCUUCAGGUGUGCAGUUCGUAUAUGCACAUCAGCAGAUCUGUAGAACUUUCUCAUCUUACAAAGCUGAAACUCUACGCCCACGGAACUCUAAUUUCCACUUGCCCUUCCUUGCCUCCCCCUAGCCCUUUGUACUUUCUGCUUCUCUGAUUUUUUACUACUCUGGAUACUUCACAUGAAUGGAAUCACACAGCCUUUGUCCUUCUGCAUCUGGCUUCUCUUGCCUAGCAUGUUUUCAAGGUUCAUCCGUGUUUUAGUAUGUGACAAGAGUUCCUUCCUUUUUUAAGGCUGCACAGUAUUUCGCUAGACGUGUAUGCUACAUUUUCUGUAUUCAUCAGUCGGUGGGUAUCUGGGUUGCUUCCAGCUCUGGCCUAUUGUGAAUAAUGUCUGGAACAAGGAUGUACAAAUCUCUCUUCGAGAUCCUGCUUUCAGUUCUUUUGGGUAUACACCUAGAAGUGGGAUGGUUGGAUAAUACGGUAGUUUUAUUUUCAAUGUUUUGAGGAACCGCCAUACUGUUUUCCCUAGCGGCUGCACCACUUUGCAUUCCCACCAACAGAGCUCGAGUGUUCUAAUUUCUCCACAUCCUUGCCAACGCUUAGUUUCUGUUCUUUUGAUAGCGGCCAUCUUAAUGAGUGUGAGGUGAUAUCUCAUGGUGGCUUGGGUUUGCUUUUCUCUAACCUAGAAUGAUUCCUAUAGUGGAAGAGGAAGUAACUUUGGCAGGGAGAACCAGGCUUUGGAGCCAAAAUUUGGGAUUGGAGUCCUUGCCAUAGCUUUGAUGUUGGCUCAUGUUCAACACAGCCUCACCACCAUCUCACUUCUCUCGGCCAUACAAUCGAAGACUAAUAACCACCCUACCUCUCUUUUCCAUGUUACCACUAAGGAGCUUUGAGUUCAUCUUUAAGGAUAACAAAGCUAUGAACUUUGUUCCAAAGAGCCAUUCAUGUGUAAACACAAGGUACUAUGGGCAACUUGUCAAGAUCUCCUUAAGGUCUCCAGAACAAGGCAGGACCCUGAAGUGUCAUCAUAGUAAACAUUAUCAGCGAUUCACGCCAAAUCCUACGGUGACAUCGAUCUUAAAAUCUAAACUACACUGAACCGAGCACUUAUCACUUUACACUGUGAGUCCGACCAUAUGUCUCUGCUAUUCCCCCUUCAACGACUGGAAACAAAUUCAGAGUUUUGAGUUUCAACUGUUUCCUUCUUGAAGCUGCUAAGACAAUAACGGAUUAAAUAAGAUGAACCAAGCAGCCAUACUUCUUGUAAAGUUAUCCCCAGAGAUAAAUGUACAAUGUUGUUUCGGAGGCUGUGGUGGUGUCUGCAGUGUAACUAAGGUUGACAGACUGCCUGCAUGUGGGUGGCUGUCUCCUUUCCAGCUGUGACCAACUGAAUUAUAUCACCUGUCCCGUUUGAUGUAUUAGGAUAUGCCCAAGCUCAAGAUGCAUGUUGCUGCAAUAGGGAAAUUAAUGUCCACCACUGGAGGCAAUUAAUAAUGAUUAGGAGCAAAACAGCGGGGUUAAAUCUGUGCAUUUAACAGAGUGUUCAUACACUUUUAUACUAUAUUUCAGUCUUGUUGCUCAAAGGGGGAAAAAAAAGCCCUUUUGGGGGACUAGAACAAUCUUAUCUUAAUUAACAUGUAAACCUAUAUGAAAUGUCAAAGUCGCUUCAAUGAGACAUGUUUAUUCAUUAUUUACUUAAUCCUUGCUUCCUGGGGUUAGAAAAAAAAAUACUGCACAAACAGUAGUAGACUAAGGAGAGAAAUGUUCAGACUCACUUGAGUACUUAGUUGAACUCCCGGACUUUGUGAACAGCUGCAUUUGACUCAUUGAUUGGGGUGAGGAAUUCUCACCUCUUUUAUUUUAUGAUCCCGCAGUUAAUAUACUUAAAAAAAAAAGGCAGCAAAUUGGCACACCAUAGAUUUGCAAUGGUUGGUUUAGUGCAACUCUAUAAAAUCUGCAUGUAAAAUACUUAGCGGUGGGUAACGGUAACUGAUUUCCUUUUGGUGACUAACGCGUGGAUAUAAAUUUCAAUAUUAGAAAUUUAAACUGAACAAGGGAUUUUGCCUGAAAAAAUGCAGAAAACAUUGAAAGCAAGUUAGGUAUAAAUCUAUAAGACAGAGGAGCCUAAACAGUAUUGAUGUAUUUGAACACGCAUGCACCUCUGACUAGGCAUUUAUGUCACCAUGUAUUAGUGGAAAGCAUACACAACACAAAUAUUCAUUGAUCAGAUAUUUUAUUAGGAAAUUUCAUUAAAUAGAUUAAAAUGUAAUUGGCCACCAGCUGGACUUUAUAGCUCCAAGAAGAUUAUAUAUUUAAGUGAUACUGCAAUUCUUAUUAAUUAAAAACUGUGAGAUAGAGGUCUUAGAAAACUUUAAAGCCCUAUUUUAUUUUAAUGGAAUCUACAAGUAGAGACUCCGAAAUGAUUCCUUUGUCGUGAACUCGCAAUGGUGACAUUGGUGUCAUUGAAGUUCUGUCUGCAACCUGAGCUCAUGAGGCAGUCCAAGUCUCAUGGGGAUGGCUCCUCCUUGAAUUCUUCCUUCAGUUGUGUCCCCAAGAGUAUGUCAGCCUGCAUGAUCUCAAAAGAGACUCAAUUAAAAUGAAAAAAUUCACUCAGUCAUCAGUCUUUUGGCUAACUUAACCCAGAUAUCCAGAUAGUGGAUGUAACUAAAUAUUUGACUGAAUUUUAACAGCAGAUGCAAAUACGUGGCACCAUUUUUUUCCGGGUGGACAUUUAACAUCCUGUGAUUCAAUGUCUACCCAGUAGUUUAGUUUCAACUAUUCACUUAUUUGUUUAUUAAAUAGCCUUCGUGUCCUUACUGCUGUUACUUGUCUAUUUGCCUCAAAAUCUCACCAGGGCUGAGCAUGGCUAAGUUUCAAGACCGGAUAAGCCCGCUCAUUUUUUCGACGAGCUGCAUCACUUUGACUACAUUAUUUUUUUAUUACUUUUAGGAAUUUGUUCAUUCAUCGGGUAUUUUUUGAGUACUAGCUGUAUGUAAAGCACUCUGCUGGACGAUCAAUCACAGACAUAGCAAACAAAACCACAAGGAGACCUCUCUCAAACUUACCAGCAUUGGCUAAGUGUGGACUUUGUGCUGAGCAUUCUCCAUUCAUGGAGAGUAAAACGAUAGGGUAGGCAUUAUUCCUAUUUACAUUUGGACAUUGAGCCUUGGGGAGAUGACUCUGACCUGUCCAAGGUCACACGGUGGUGAUAACAGAGUUGGGAUUCCAACCUUGGCCUUCUGUUCUCAGGGUCCUGGGGUCUUGCCUUCACACAACAGCAGUCUCUUAAGGAACCAGCUGACCCAAUAGUAGAUCAAGGGGUUAUGUUCAUGCAGCUCUUCUCUGCCAAAGAUCAGUUUCUCAGUCAGUAAUUCCUGGAAAGUCACAAAUUAAUUGAGUCUGCCCCAAUUGUCAGAUAAUGCUGGUGUUUAAGGUGCAGCUGCCCCACCGUGUCACCACAAGUAGAAGACAGUGCUUGACCUCCACAGUGGCCCUAGCCUCUCCCCUUAACCCACUGCUCUCACUUCUCAGCUUCCCAUUGGAUCCUCAGCUUCCCCAACAGUCAUGGCCUCUUCGCUGUUGGCAACAGGUUGGGCAAUUCUUUUACAGCUUGAGGAACUUGAGCUGUCCACUCGGCUCACUGUUCUGCCCUCUUCCCUAGUUCUGGUGCCUCCUGGAGGCAUGGAUGACAGUCAUCACACACCAGCCUGGCUCUAGCGAGGCCACCUGAUGUGGCAGCUUCCUGCCCCUCUGCCCUUCCCCACCUUGCCAAAGAGGAAGGAAUGGGUAACCCAAGAAGAGAAAUGCACUAGUUCUUACACUUGGGAUGCAUCACAAUCUUCUGGGGACCUACUAAAAACAUAGGUAACCGAACUCUUCUCCGAGCCUCCGAAAUCUGUACAAGUGUGUUUUAGCACAUUUCCCAGGUGAUGAAGAUGUAUACCAAAACAAAAUGAGAUCCUAGAUGAAUGUGCAUAGCACAGAGCCUGGCUACCUUAGAGUUGCCACUCAGUGGUAUAUUAUCUAUUGCUCCAUGACAAAUUACUUCAAAACCUGGCAGCUGGAACAAGAAACAUUUAUUACCUCACACUUCCUGUGUGUCAGAAAGCCAAGAGUGGCCUAGUUGUAUGCCUUUACCUCAAGGUCUCUCAUGAGGUGCCCUCAAGGACUACGGUUGGCCAAAGAAUUUCAAGACUCAACUUGUGCGAAAGGCUUUGCUUCCAAGCUCGUUCAUGGUUGUCAGCUGGCCCCAGAUCCUUGCAGGCUAUUGCACAGAAGGCACCACAACAUCAUGUGGAUCUCUCCAUAGGGCCAACCACAAUAUGGCAGCUUACUUUCACCAGAGUAUUGAAAAAGAGAGAGAACUCAAGACAGAAGUCAUAGUCUUCCUAAUAUUCAGAGUAACAUCUUAUCAAUGCUGUCAUAUUCCAGUUUUUGGAAGAGAGUCCGUACUUAAGGUAGUACACAAAGCCAUGAAUGCUAGAAGGCAGUGGUUACUGGGGGCCAUCUUAAAGCCUACCCACCAAAGGUGGCCAGUUUCUCUUCAGUUUGGGGAGUUAGAGCCAGUCAGUGGGACUCACCAGUGGAAAUAUUUUUUAGAGUUAUUGGAGAGGAGAAGACGUCAACCAGUAAUCUGGAGUACUGGUAUCAGUUACAUCCUAUAUACAUUCGUUACAGUGGCCUUGGCAUCAUCAGUUCAUCCAUCCAUCCAUCCAUCCAUCAAAUAAUCACUUAUUGUUCAUGGUCUUUUGUGCUAGGUACUGCUCUGGACACUGGUAGCACAACAGUGAAAAACUUAGGUAAAGAGCCCACUUUCAGUGGAUUCAACAGUUUACUUGAAGGUGUAAACAAGGAAACAGGCAACCACAUGAGGAGACAGAAGCUCUGACACACCCUGCUAGAGUGUGAUGGCAGUCCACUGUAGAGGCUGUCUGCUCAAGUUCAUGAGCUGGUCAGGGAAGACUUCCAGGAGGAGGUGACACUUAGGCUGAGACACGAGAACAAGAAAAGUUUUGUCAAGUGGAGAGCAGUCUAUGCAGGAAUGAGAGCAAUGAGAGAAGCAUGAAUUUUUCCAGAUUUCAGGUGGAGGUCAGAGUAAGUCUUCCUCAAGUGAGGUAAGUGAAGGUAAGGAUAGGCCCCUAGGGUAAUAACAUUUCCAAAAGUAUAAUGGAACUUGAAUAAGGCAAACAGGCCAAAAAAGAAGCUUAUUUUUCAUCUCCUUAGUCUCUUAACUAGAAAGUUUACUCAAUUUCCAUUGAGUGUGAUCAUUAAUAUAUUUUAAUUCAACAUACUAUUUUUAUCUUAUUUUGUGAUCCUGGUAGAAUUUCAUAAGGAUAAUUUGGGUUAUCAUGUGCUAAUCAAAAGUUCUUAUCAGCAAUUUCAUGUCUUUGAUUAAUAAAAGUGGGAAUGAGAAUUAAUUAAUUAACGCAGUUUGCUUUUCCUCAAUUCCUUUAACUAUUUUAUAUUUUAUUUUAUCUUACCAUAAGGCUCUGCUUCUGUAAGUGGUCUUAAAACCUCAGUGAUCUGGGGCAGGAUAUAAAUAAACACAUACAUAAAAUUCUUACUACAUAUAUUAAUAAUCACACUUGGGGGAAAUGGACUAAACUUUCUAGUUAAGAGACUAAGGCCAUCAAAUCAGGGUUGAAUUAAAAGAGAACAUACAACAGCAUCAAAAAAAAAAAACAACCAAAAACCAAAACCACAAGUUGUGUUUAUAAUUAAUUUCCAUAAAAUAUAAGAAAAUGGAAACUUGAAAACAAAAGAGAGAAAAAAAUAUGAUAGGUAUAUCAUUGUGAGAUGGGUUUGACUGCAAGUAACAGAAAACUCCAAAUGACAGUGGCUUAAACAAGACAGAAAUUUAUUUUUUCUGUGUCUGUGGCACUCCCUCCUGUCAGAAACUUAAGACUUUUUUGAUCCCAUGGUUCCAUAUUGGGCUGAUUUAAGCAGUAGGUCCAAGAUGAUAGUAUCUGCAUUCCAAGACGGAGGAUGAAGGAAGGAUGGAGAAGAAGACAUGGAAUAUCUUGUGUUACAUCUUAAGGUAGAUUCUUGGAAGCUGCCAAACAACCCAUUUGCUUUUAUCUCAUUGACCAGAUCUUAGUCAUAUGGCCACACCUAGCUGCAAGGGAGCCUGGGGAAUGUAGUCUUUACUCAGACGACCAAGUCUCCAGCUAAAAGUGAGAGAAAGGAAGAAUCAUAUCACGAAAGACAGAGUUGCAGGAACCACUCUGUCACAACAGGCAUAUAGUAACCAAAAGAAAACUAGCAUAAAAUAAUAUCAGAUAAAACAGACUGACCUUAGGUGAAAGGCAUUACUGUCGAUAGUGAACAUCAGUACAUAUUUUUUAAAAGAUUUCACUAGGAACUUGUACGUACUUAGUGAUGAAUCUUCAAAAUAUGUAAAACAAGAAUUGACAGAUUCUAAGAAGAAAUGACAAAUAGGCCAUCACUGAGGGAGACAUUCAGUGGUUGAUAAAUCAAGCAGAGAAAAAAAAAGUCACAGAAAAUUGGACAUCACAAGAUUAUUCUGAUGGAUAUACAUAAAUAGUAUUUCUAACAAUGCGAGAAUAGAGAUUAUUUUCAAGCACACAGAAAACAAUGACGGAAGUUGACCAUAUUAUAAGCCAAAAUCAAGCGUUGACAAAUUUCAGAUAAUUGGUAUGUGUCAUUUACUGACGUUUACUGACAACAAUGAAAUUAAAUUUUAACUGAGUUAUAAAAAGAUGACUUCUAAAAGCCCACUUGUUUUGAACAUUUAAAGCAUAUGUUUUAAAGGACCCAUGGUUACUCAUGGUUCGUGGUGAAAAUGAGAAGAUGCUUAAUAUGAAAAAUGAAUAAGAAAAAUAUUAUCAACAAAAUUUGUGGAAUGAAGAACUAGUAUCUAGAAUAUAUAAAGAACUCUCAAAUCGCAACAACAAAAAUCAAAACUAAUCAAUUAGAACAUGGGCAAAUGACAUGAAGAGGUAUGUUACUGAAAAAGAUAUGCAGAUGGAAAAUAAGCACAUGAAAACGUGUUUAACAUCAUUAAUCUAGGGAAAUGCACAUUAAAACUACGAUGAGAUACCACUCCUAUGAGAACAGCUAAAAAAAAAAAAUAGUGACAACACCAAAUACCAGUAAGGAUGCAGAGAAACUCGAUCACUCAUACGUUGCUGGUAGGAAUGUAAAAUGUACAACCACUCUGAAAAACAGUUUGGCAAUUUCUUAAAAAACUAAACACGCAACUAUCACAUAACCCAACAAUUGCACUCCUGGGGACUUAUCCCGGAGAAAUGAAAACUUAUGUUCACAGCAGCUUCAUUGGUAAUAACCAAAAACUGGAAACAAACGAAGUAUCUUUUUUUUCCAAUUUUUAAAAAAGUUUAUUUUUGAGAGAGAGCAUGCGAGCAGGGAAGGGUCAGAGAGAAAGGGGCACUGUCAGUGCAGAGCCCAAUGCGGGGAGCAAACUCACGAACUGUGAGAUCACGAUCGGAGCUGAAAUGAAGUCAGGCGCUCAACCAACUGAGCCACCCAGGCGCCCCCAAAUAUCUUUCAUUGGGUGAAUGGUGGAAUAAAUUGUGGUACAUCCAUACAACGGAAUAGUAUUCAGCAAUAAAAAAGAACAUGUUUUGAUUAUUGGUACAUCCAAUAGUCUAGAUACAUCUUCAGAGAAUUAUGAUAAGUGAAAAAAGCCAAUUCUCAAAAGUUACAUACUGUGUGAUUCCAUUUAUAUAACAUUCUUCAGAGAACAGAGUUAAACACACGAACAAGAGAUUAGUUGUUGGCAGGAGUUGAGGAGGGGAUGGGCGCAGGAAGGAAACUAGAGUGGCCAUGGGAAGGGCGACACGAGCGGCCCCUGCAGUGAUGGAAAUGUUCUGUGCCUUGGCUGUGUCAAUGCUGAUAUCCUGGUUGUGAUCUCAUGCUGUAGUUUUGUAAGAUGUUACCACUGGGGAAACUGGACAAAGCAUACAGGUGCUCUCGCUGUAUUAUUUCUUACAGCUGCAUGUGACUCCAUAACCAUCUCAAAAUAAAAGUUUUAAUUUUUUUUUAAAUCUUGUGGGAUGCAACGAAAGUGGUACUUUCACAGAGACCAACACGUACUAAAAAGAAGAAAGGCUUAAAAUUAAUGAUAUAAUCAAUUAGAAAAAUGACAGCACAAUGAACUCAAAGUAGAAGAAAGGAAGUAUUAAAGGACGGAAGUUGAUGAAAUAAGAAUGACAAAAAUACUGCGGGGAGGGCUGACCAAGCUGAAAAGUGAUUCUCCACAAAGACUAACAAUGCGGACAAACCUCUGGCAAGGUUCAUCUCGAAAAGAGAGAGGUGCCAAUUGCCAAUGUCAAGGAGAAAAAGGAACAAGCUAUAGGUGCAGCAGACUCUAAGAAUAUUUCAGACAAUUCUUUACUGAUACAUUUGGAAAUAUAGAUAAAGUGGACACAUUUCUAGAAAAAUAUAAUUGACCAAAGUACUUUUUUUUUAAUGUUUAUUUAUUUUUGAGAGGGAGAGAGACAGAGUGUGAGCAGGGAAGGGGCAGAGAGAGAGGGAGACACAGAAUGUGAAGCAGGCUCCGGGCUCUGAGCUGUCAGCACAGAGCCCGAUGCGGGGCUCGAACUCACAAACCGUGAGAUCAUGACCUAGCCAAAGUCGGAUGCUUAACCAACUGAGCCACCCAGGCACCCCCAAAGUACUUUUGAUAAAGGAGGAAAUCUAGUUGAAUAACCAUUAAAAUAUUUUCACAUGGAAAACUCCAGAUCUACCAAACUUACAAGACAUAAGUCAUAUGUGAUUGUUAUGUUACACAAGCUUUUCUCAAAACAUUAAAAACAAAGGAAGGAAGGAAGGAAGGAAGGAAGGAAGGAAGGAAGGAAGGAAGGAAGAAAGAAGGAAAUGGGCACCUGGGUGGCUUAUUCAGUUGGGGGAGUCUUGAUUUCUGCUCAGGUCGUGAUCUCACGAUUGUGGGAUUGAGCCCCUCUUCAGACUCCAAGCUGCACUUAGAGCCUACUUGAGAUCCUCUCUCCUUCCCCCCAGCUUUCUGUCUCUCUCUCUCUCUCUCUCUCUCAAAAAAAAAAAAAAAAAAGAAAAGAAAGAAAGAAAGAAAGAAGAAGGAAAGACUUUAAGUAAUUUAUUGAGGCUGGUAUAAUCUUGAUAUCAAAUCUAGAUAAAGACAGAUCAUGUGCUCUAAAUACUAAAUAAAAUAAAAGUAAAACAAAUUUUUUUAACAAAUAAGAGAUCAAGCAGAGUUUACUCCAGAAAUUCACCAUUGGUUCAAUAUUAGGAAAAAUUCUCACUUUAAUUUACCACAUCAAGAAAUUAAAGGAGAAAAACUACAUGCGCAUCGUAAUAGGUAUGGAAUUCAGUAAAAUUCUAAAAUUUGCUCAUCAUAAGGAUCCUAUAAAAAUUAUUGCAUGCCAGCUACAGAUGACAUGUGUAAGGAUGCUCAUAGAAGCAAAGACUGGAAAGAGCCCAGAUGGCCAUAAACAAGAGAUUGGAUGAACACACUGUGGAAAUUUGCAGCAAGGAAUACAGCAGCGAAAGCGCAUAAAUUAUGGGCACGACAAAGCAAGGGUGAGUCUCACGGACGUAAUGUUGAAUAAAAAGGGAAAAUGGAGGCAAAUCUAAAAAUACAUGCUUUCAGGGAUAUAUAGAAAACUUUAGGUGAAACAGAGAGUGACUAACACAAAACACACAACAGUAUUACCUCAGGGCAGUCGGGGAAGAGGCACCUUUGAAGGUGGCUUCUUUUGAAAACCAGACUAAAAGGGAAGUACAAGGAAGAGCACAUAAUGUUCUUUAGGCUUUUCCCACUUAUUUUGGGUCUCACAUUUGUGGGCCAGCAUUUUUCUAUCUAUAACAGCUACUAUUUAAUCCAUCAUUUUAGUGGGCACUUACUAUGUGCCAGGCGGUAGGCAAAAUAUAUCAUAGGCAUUAGCUCGGCUUCCUUCUCCCUCAUGAGGCACCUUCUGCAAUUACUCUCCUUUUCCAGAUGUGGGAACUGGUCACAUGAUUAGGAUCAACUAGAACCAGGGUUGGGAUCCGAAGCUGUUGGUCCACAUGCUAUAUCGCCUAUGAGUUCAGAAAAUAGAACUGCCACUUUUUUUUAGAGAGAGAGAGAGAGAGGAAGAGAGAGAGAGAGAGCAGGAAAGGGGCAGGGAAAGAGGGAGAGAGAGAAUCCCAAGCAGGCUCGAAGCACAGCGUGGAGCUCAACGCAGGGAUCGAUCUCACAACCAUGAGAUCGUGACCUGAGCCGAAAUCAAGAACUGGAUACUUAACCACCCUGGCUGAGCCACCCUGGCUCCCCUAGAACUGCCACUUUUAAGGACUUGAUUUGAGUAAAGCAAAGGACACUUGAAAUACUAUCCAAUGCUCAGGAAUGGGGAUGUUAGCCCUUUUCUAGGGGACAGCAAAUUCAGUGCAGUAGAAAAACCACUUUAUACCAAGCUUUUACUGAGUGUAGUAUCACCUUUGAUUGGCCCAGAUGUGCAUCGGCAUUCGUGGAAGGUCAUGGAGAGCUGUAACUCUACGCACUGCUGUAUUUCUUUAAAAUUACCCCCAAAGAAGCUACGGGACUUACAGACCGAAGGCAUGUUUUGUUUACAAUCUCACACUAGCCUAAAUCAACCAUAACUAAAACUGUUCUCAGAGUUCCAAAGUAACCUCUUACUAACAUGAUCUGUAAUUCUGAUUAAUUUCUAUUGCUCUCAGCGGGUGUGAGUUCCCAUGUUUUCUUCCUGAACAGGAGCCGAACUGCUCAUUUGUUUGAGGUGCUCCUCUGAGAGAGGAAGAGGUUGGGCAUCUAGACUCAAGUUAGUUUCCUUUUGCUCUUGUUAUUAUAACAACAAAUGGGUAAAUAAAUGGAUUACCUUUGCAGGUACCUAGCCUAAUUCAUUUCAGCCCAUUUUCUCAAAUUCAGUGCAGAGUAGACUGAGCUGAGGGCUCGGUGGCUUUGGAUUUGUCCUCAUGAUAAGGAUGGCUGUCAUCUAUUCUGCACCUACCAUGUUCAGGGUCUGGAGACGCUCCAUAUUCAGCAUUUCAUUAAUAACGUAUUAAUAACGUAUUAAUUACGUUAUGUAAUUAACGUAUUAAUAACGUUCCUUCAUCUGUGCCGAAGAUGAAGAACUUGGGACUCUGCGAAGUGAGUCACGUUGAUCAAGGCCACAAAGUUAGAAAGGAGCGAGCUGGGAUUUGAACCCAAAUCAGGCAAAGCUUCUCCUCUCACUUACAAGCUGCCUAGAUGGGGAUGGUCUUUUUGAUUGGUUGAGACUAACAAGUCGACUAAAAGAACAUCACACCCUAGUCUUGAGUUUUGGAUCUCUCUUCUGUGUGCACUCUCUCCACGAUAUGGAAAACAAAGAGUUGAUCUCAUUCCAACACAAACACAUUUCUGACCCUGAAGGCAAGGUGGUGUUUCUGUCUUUCAUUAUCACUGGUAAAGAAAAAAAGAAUGGCUACUAACUUGGAGGAAGUCUGUAAUUCAAAGUUGAUAUAUGCUAAAUGUGAAAUGGUUACUUUAAGACAACUUAAUGCUUUCAUUUGAAAGAUGAUGGAGGCAUUAUCAUCAGCUCUAUAGCCGGACAAAUAAAUAGAUAGACUUAUACUAUCACCAUUCAAAUGAUUAAAAAGAAAUAAAAUGAUGCCAGAUGUUUAUUUGGAAUAACCCACAGAACACAUUGAAAACAAUUCCUAUUUCUGCAACUGGAAAUUGGAAUUGAUCAUUACUGGGCAUUAAAUGCGCGUAUGUUUUUCUGAAGUUCCUAAAUCUAUUUAAUUUCUAUGUUGACAGAGAUAUUAGACAGCUGUUUCAAAAUCUGUCUCUCUUUCCUGAGCUAUGCAUAAGAAAUCUUUAUGUUAAACCACGAAAUGUCAAUGAGAGCUCUUCAGUGUACUAAUCAGCCUGCGAGUGGAAUGUGUGUGGCUGGAAGCAACAACCUUAACUUACAUUCUCAAUAGUCUUGAUUGCCCCACAUGCACCCCCUGAAGACAUGGCUGUUGAAGGCACCAACUCCAAAGUGCAGCCUGCGUUGCCAGCUCUGACGAUUAGAGUCAGGGACAAUGAGUUAGCAGACGAGACGUGUUCUCCGCAAAUGGCUUGGUCAGUGACUCCCUGCGUACCCCAGGGGACCGGUCCUGAAGCCUCUGCCUCUCUUACCCUAUGGCCAUCUCAGUCCCAUCCACCCUCCUCCAGGGGGCCUACCAUGGGCACCAGAUACAAGAAAGAGGAGAGCCAGCUUCGUUCCUCAGAGUUCUUUAAGGGCAGGCUGGUGGGUGAACUCGAUAAUUGACAUCAUUCCAACAUCACUUAGCUUGUUUGAAAACAUUUCACAGCCCAAACAAAAUCUCAUACACAAUCGUGCUCUUUGUAGUGUCAUUUGUGAAAAAAAAAAAGUUUUAAGUUGAGAUGUCUUUCAAUAAGGAAACGGUUACAUGAAUUAUGCUAAAAUAGUUACGAGAAUUACGCUAAAUUCACACAGUGGAUUAUAGCAGACCCACUGAAAACAGUUUACCACAAUCAGAAGGUCAAAAAAAAAAAAAGAAAACCCCCCCUCUAUUCAUGAGCUUGGUGAAUCUUCCAAAACAAAGUUUAGUCUUUUGUCUCUUAAGAUUAGAAAUCUGACUUUGUCAGCACACCCAGAGGUGAUCUGUUUCUCGGGAAUGGACACGCUAACCAUACUUUUGACAUGGAGGCAUUAAAGCAGAGUGCCAAUAUAUCAUUUCAAAUUCAGAAAUCUGUUACAUGCCCUGAAAUACUUGGAUGGGCAAAAUAGAUGGGCACAAUCAGCAUAUUCUACUCCUAGCAAUAAGCUACAUGGGAAAUAAUCUCCUGUUCGCCACAGUCAUUUACCUGCCACCGUUUACUGAGUGUUUAUAGUGUGCCAGGUACUCUACCAAGACUUAUCAGUAUCUCAUUUAAUGAGAUCAUGUUUGCAAAGCACUUAGCACGUGCCUCCCCCCACGCUAAGUGCUCCAUAUUUGUUAGCUGCUGUUGUUUCUAUUGCCACUUUUCCUUCUCGACUUAUCACGAUAUCCAGUUGACAUUCUCCCCUUUCUGCAAAUUAGAAAAUGAAGACAAAGGAAUUCAGUCGCUGCCCAAGCUAGCUGGUAAGUGGCAGAAUCACAACGAGAAAUACAAUUGUCAGAGGAGCUGGAACACCCAGUCACCAAGGUCUUUGGCAGAGCCCUGGGGAAGCAGUCAGAAGGUUGUGCUGUGAGUAUAGAAUCACAACAAAGGGAGUUAGAAGAAUUAAACCUUUAGUAGCAUCAGGCCAAAACAACUUGCUAUGUUCACCUCCUGGUAGGAUGAUCCGGCAUUUGAGACCCACUGGCUGAGACUUGCUUUCCCCUGAAUAAGAGAGAGAAGCUAAUAUUUACUGAGAAUUAGUGUGACAGCCUUCAUUUAAUUUUCAUCAAAACAUCAUGAAGCAGUUAGGGAACAGUCCCCAAGAUGCCACCGCUGAUAUGCUGUAGAGCCUGGACUCCAACUCUGGACCAUCCCACUCCAAAGCCCAGUCUUUAACCCUGAACUCUGUCACCUACCAACACAGAGACGUAGGUGUGGCUAGUCCCGUUUUGCAGAGGAGGAAACUGACGAACAACUUAAAUCACAUGCCCCCAAGGCAUUCGGUCUGUGACUAAAUGACAGAGAAGAAAUACGAAGUUUGAGUAUUGCAUUGUACAAAUUACAUUGUAUUAGCUUGCUCAGGUCACCAUAACAAAAUGCCACACAGCCUGGAUGGCUUAAACAACAGGAAUGUAUUUUCUUACAGUUCUGGAGGCUAGAAGUCCAAGAUCAAGAUGUCAGCAGGUGUGGCUCCUCCUGAGACCUCUUUCUUUGGCUUGCAGGUGGCCACCUCUUUGCUGUGUCUUCACAUGGUCAUUCCUCUACUGUGUCUCUCUCCAUGUGGUCCAAAUUUCCUCUUUUUUAUAAGGACACAUUCAUACUAGAUUAGGGCCAACCUUAAGCACCUCAUUUUAACUUAAUCACACCUUUAAAGACCUUUUCUCUGAAUAUGAUCACAUACAAUGGGCACGAGGGGUUAGGACUUCAACAUACGAAUUUUGGGAGGACAGAAUUCAAUCCAUAGCAUGCAUCUUCUUAACCCGGAAACAAUACUGCUGCCCAUAAAGGGAUUGUUUCAUAUUUUUGAUAGUUUUUAAAAAUGCCAUUUUCAGGCCACAUAGUCAUGCUGGAAAACUAUUUUCUUAUUUCUGAUGAUGAACCGGAGGAUAGCCUGCUUGCUGUUAGCUCCUUUGUUCGUUCAUUCAUUUAGAAAUAGAAUGCCAAUUGGCAAAAGGGAAAACGAUUAACUAGAACUCAUGGAAUUUCAAAAUGACUCACCAAAUCCUCUUGCUUGGGGCACUCUAUAACAUGUAUUUCGCUAUCCAACCAGAGCUUAAAUCAAAUAGCGAAAUUAUUGAAAUCAAGGCAGUAUGAAGAAUAUCCAGAAGUAUAAACCCCUUCAAGGAAGUUAAAAUUUAGUUGAGGAGACAAAAGCAUAAAUAUAUGAGACAUUAAUAACAACUCAUGACAGUAAUGCCACAAGGCAAAAUAGGAUGAAUUGUAGAAUAUAGAAGCCAGAAAGUAGAUGCUGUGAAUACAGAGAAAGGCCAGUGACUGAGAAGGGUAAUCCAGGAAGGUUUCCUGGAAGAAGAGGAAGUUAUCAUGUUGAGUAAGUCAGAAGCGAAUUCCCUCGGAAGCAUCCCUUGGGGAUAUUAGCACCCAUCUCUCUGCAUCUCACAGGUGCUGUGAGAUUCAACACAUGUUCAACGAAGCCAUGUAUCUGGGCACGGCUGACAGGAGAUGGGAACCCGAAGAGGGAGGAAAUGACUGGAUAAAUGUUGGGCAGAGCCUGCAGGGGAUGGGGAAAAGAAAGGAAAUUCCCAGAACACCCGUAGUGGCCAGAAUGAAUCUGCACGAAUUUGGAAAUUCAGAGCAAGAAACACCUUUCCCCUGGUUUGGCUCAGAGGCACUACGGUGGCAUUUAGGGCAAGUCAGCCGGAAAGGGAAGCAAGACACAGCUGCAGUUCAGAUUGUGAUGAUGAAGAGAUGCGCAGGAAUCCAAGGUCAGAGAAAAGGCCCGAACUGGCUGCUUGCCUCUUUCACCUUCCAGGAGAGCUAGAAGAGAAGAGGACUGAAAAGAUUCCUGGAAGCUUCUGUGCAAGGUAGAGGAAAAUAAGAGAGACAGCAUAUGGUAUGAAUGCUCCUUACCGGGGAGGAACAGGUGCCCAGCCAGCCAGCCCUCCGGCUGUUGGCUGAAAUGGAACCCAGGACCACGUUCGCAAGUCAUUUAGUCCUUGAGCUUCAUCAGCAGAUACAUUGGCUUUGUUCUGGAGGCCAGCAAAAAGAAAAAAAAAAUGUGUCAGGAAAGUUGGAGGAACUUUCUUGCUAUUUCGCUUAGCAGACCAAGGUCAAGUACACGAUUCAUUCUCUUCAAGAAGGAAGUAGUGUGAAAGGGAGGGCGGCAGAUGGUGACGAAUUGCAGGGAGCUACCUGGGGUGUAGCACUUAAUGUGCUCUGGAGUCCAGCUACCUGGGUUCAAACCCCUGUCCUCCACUGACCAGCUGGAUGAGGUUGAGCAAGUUAAUGGAAUCUUUCCGUGCCUCAGUUUCCUCAUCUGUAAAAUGGGAUUAAUAACGAAGCCUAUCUCAUGGGGUUAUUUCAAGGAUUAAUUAAGAGAACAUAUGUCUGAUAUUUAGGUAACACUGAAGAACCGUUAGCAUGAAUAUUAGUACAUGUGAGAGUGGCGGGACAUUCUGGGAGUGUGAAUGGGGCGUGGUUGGGGGGGUGAAUUAGAGCAGAUGCAAAGAGAGCACAGGGAGAAUUUAAAGAGAGAAAAGAUGAUGGCUCCUAAGGUCAUGAACAGACAAAUCAGAUUGCUAACCAAAAACAAACAAACAAAAACACUCCAAACAAAACAAAAACAAAACAAAGUAUCUCGAUGCAACACCUAACAGGAAAAAUGUUUCAGGCAUGGGAGAAGUGGAUUUAGGAGAAGCCGUAUUUGACUUUUGGCCUCUGGGAGACUGUCACCAGGAUGAGGAGGUGGCCCGAGCCUGGCAACAUCCAGAGCCUUGAGGAGAGGCAGGACCAAGUGUUUCCUGGUCCAGGGAAGGUGGCUGAGGAGUGAGUGAAGUCAAAGGUGAAGGCAAAAUUUUGAGGAAGGCAUGGGAGAGAAAAGGGAAAAUGGUUGCAGAGGUGCUAAGCAAAGAGCGAAUGGU